GCUCUCCAACCCUGUUCCUGGAGAGCUACAGUCCUGUAGAGCCCUGCUGUAGGCUAUGCAUUGUUGAGUGUGUUUUUUGGCUGCAGUUUUUCUUUUGCAGUUCACUUUGUUUGGACUGAUUUAAAAUGUUCCAGUGAAUUUUGGUUUCACACAAAGGUGUCAUCUGAGAGGCACGGUUAAUGAGCACAGGGUUUUAAGGUCAUUGUUUUUUCUCAGUUUUCCUAUAGAUUUGAUUUUGUGCUAAACCUGAGCUCCUCAAAUGGAUGCCAUUUUUAUAUUUUUGCCCUCUUAAGAAUAAUACAGAAAUGAAAAUGGAGUGCUUUUCUAUUUCAAAACUUUAAGGGGACACUGCAUUUCAAGCAACCCAGAGCGAUUUCAGUAAGUAGCCUUUCACGAGCUAGCUGGAACGGCUCAUAGGAGCAGAUCUCCUGUUUCUGUAGUGUGAGGCUGCUUGAUGUACAAGUAUACCCCCCCUGGACAGGACACUAGUCUAUCUCCUUAAUGCUGAGUGCCAAGGAGAGACGCUUCGUGUCCCAUUCUUAGUCUUUUGUAUGACGUGGCCGGGGAUCAAACUCCCAACCUUUCAAUCUCAGGGCGGACACUGGGCGGACACAAGGCCACUGAGCAAUUACAGUGCUGCUCUUAUAUGGUCAAGUAUUUAUAUACUGUAUCAUUUGUUUUGUACAUGAAAGUCAAUGUGUGCUUUUGUCAUGUGGAAAUUCUUGAUAAAUGGGUGUCGUGCUUGGGUGGUUUUAUCGGCCACUAUCUAAAUAAAAUAUGUCAUGUCA
This is a long non-coding RNA of Coregonus clupeaformis (lake whitefish), 788 nucleotides long. RefSeq lists it as uncharacterized. The record is from RefSeq and is a predicted model, not a curated record. The transcript is spliced from 2 exons. Lineage: Eukaryota; Metazoa; Chordata; Actinopteri; Salmoniformes; Salmonidae.